Molecule: long non-coding RNA, 238 nt
Filed under: Gallus gallus (chicken)
Lineage: Eukaryota; Metazoa; Chordata; Aves; Galliformes; Phasianidae
Description: long non-coding RNA NONGGAT009157
Source: RNAcentral
UGCUGAGAAGGCAAAAUUAAAACUGGAGAGAUGGGCUUCCCGAGAUGCUGGCAGUGGGGGAGGAAGAAGCGAAGAGUUGGAGACAAGUGGGGACUGUGAUGAUGAGGAUGGCUGCCAAGGAUCUGGUGACAGGAUUCACACAGCAGUGCUGUGCUGUAAGGAAGGAAGGGUCACUGCAUCUGGAGGUGGGAACUUGAAUAUGACCCCAAGUUCAGUGCCAGGUUAGUGUGGCUCCAGG